Long non-coding RNA from Zea mays, 1088 nucleotides. RefSeq lists it as uncharacterized. The record is from RefSeq and is a predicted model, not a curated record. NCBI's taxonomy places the organism in Eukaryota, Viridiplantae, Streptophyta, Magnoliopsida, Poales, Poaceae. The transcript is spliced from 6 exons.
AAUUGAAUUUUUUUGUCCAGUGCAAGAUAUUAGUUGUGUAACAAAUUGUUAAAUUCUCACAUGUCAGAUAGUGGUGCAUUUCAUGGCUUGAUCUGUCUCUUUUUACUCUAGGCCAGCGGCAGACACGUCGCCUGCCUCCCCUGGCUUGCUCCUGGCCAUCUAGCGAAGGUUUAGAGAUUGAGGCUGAGUUUGGGCAGACCUCAUCAUUGUUGGUUUGUUUGGUAUGGAGUAAGCUAGCCCAGGGGGAAAAUAGUGAACCUGGCAGAUGAUGGGGAGUAAUGUGGCAGUGAUUUCUCUCCCUUUAUUAUGAUGAAGUUGUGGCUUGUAUCAAUGUUGUAUCUGCAAUUUGAAAUAUGUAUAUAUGCCAUGUCCGAUUAGCAACACAAGACAUUGGAAUCUCCAAAUUUCACGGCAUUGAUUCAGUUCUCUGGCCAGUAGACCGGCCUACUAACUUCAUUUAUGGACAAAAAUCAAGGGUGUACAUCAUCCUUAUGGCUUAUCUGGAAAUGGCUUGCCAUGUUUCUCAAUUCUCUCCCAGCUACUACAACCACUGCUUGUACCCUUCACGCUUUCCUCAAGCCGGGGUCUAUGCAUGAUACAAGUGUGUUGUAUAAUGCAAUGAAGGUGGACAACAAUUUCUUCCAGAAUCCUCCCAAGAAUAAGUUCUAUGUCGUUGAUGCCGGAUACCCCAAUAGAGUUGAUUAUCUAGCAUCGUACAAAGGCAAGAGGUAUCAUUUACUAGAAUGGCAUAGAGGUAUGGAACCCAAAUCUCUAUAGGAGAAGUUUAAUCAUAUUCAUGCACGUGCUUGAAAUAUUAUAGAGGGGCAUUUGGAGUAUGUAAGAUGAAGUGGUAAAUUCUAUAUAUAAUGUCGUUGUAUCCAUUGUGGAAGCAAAAAAAUGAUUGGUGUGGGGACUAUGGUAGUUCAUAAUUUCAUUUGUGAGCAUGAGAGAUUAUGAUCCUACAAUACCAUAAUGGUACAACAAGUAUUGCAUGCACUGGAUGGAUCAACUACAUUACCUAAUGCGCCAACUAUGGAUGUUUUUUGUGAUGAAUGAGUGACGACUAUCACUCAAAGUUGAAACUAAUU